RNAcentral lists this ribosomal RNA (209 nucleotides) under uncultured bacterium. RNAcentral's name for it is "partial 16S ribosomal RNA". It matches the Rfam family "Bacterial small subunit ribosomal RNA", at positions 1293 to 1500 of the family's 1533-position model. The record is from RNAcentral.
UCGGAUUGCAGUCUGCAACUCGACUGCAUGAAGCUGGAAUCGCUAGUAAUCGCGGAUCAGAAUGCCGCGGUGAAUACGUUCCCGGGUCUUGUACACACCGCCCGUCACACCAUGGGAGUCGGAUAUGCCCGAAGUCAGUAGACCCAACCGCAAGGAGGGAGCUGCCGAAGGUGGAGCCGAUGACUGGGGUGAAGUCGUAACAAGGUACC